AGUGCUAGGGGUGCCCAGUGGCUGAGAGGAAUAUAUAAUCAUAUAUUCUAACCCUUGAACCUGACAUGGAUAAUACCAGCGUAGGGAAGCAAAA
RNAcentral lists this non-coding RNA (94 nucleotides) under Clostridium ihumii. RNAcentral's name for it is "TPP riboswitch (THI element)". It matches the Rfam family "TPP riboswitch aptamer (THI element)", at positions 7 to 92 of the family's 105-position model. Rfam says of the family: Vitamin B(1) in its active form thiamin pyrophosphate (TPP) is an essential coenzyme that is synthesised by coupling of pyrimidine and thiazole moieties in bacteria. The previously detected thiamin-regulatory element, thi box was extended, resulting in a new, highly conserved RNA secondary structure, the THI element, which is widely distributed in eubacteria and also occurs in some archaea. Lineage: Bacteria; Bacillati; Bacillota; Clostridia; Eubacteriales; Clostridiaceae. The record is from RNAcentral.